AGAGCGAACGCUGGCGGCAUGCUUAACACAUGCAAGUCGCACGGGCAUUUCGGUGUCAGUGGCGGACGGGUGAGUAACGCGUAGGUAUCUAUCCUUGGGUGGGGGAUAACGGUUGGAAACGACUGCUAAUACCGCAUGAUAACUGAGGUUUAAAGGCGCAAGUCGCCUGGGGAGGAGCCUGCGUACGAUUAGCUUGUUGGUGGGGUAAAGGCCUACCAAGGCGACGAUCGUUAGCCGGUCUGAGAGGAUGAUCAGCCACAUUGGGACUGAGACACGGCCCAAACUCCUACGGGAGGCAGCAGUGGGGAAUAUUGGACAAUGGGCGAAAGCCUGAUCCAGCAAUGCCGCGUGUGUGAAGAAGGUCUUCGGAUUGUAAAGCACUUUCGACAGGGACGAUGAUGACGGUACCUGUAGAAGAAGCCCCGGCUAACUUCGUGCCAGUAGCCGC
RNAcentral lists this ribosomal RNA (448 nucleotides) under uncultured bacterium. RNAcentral describes it as "SSU rRNA". It matches the Rfam family "Bacterial small subunit ribosomal RNA", at positions 26 to 518 of the family's 1533-position model. The record is from RNAcentral.